RNAcentral lists this ribosomal RNA (301 nucleotides) under uncultured bacterium. RNAcentral's name for it is "partial 16S ribosomal RNA". It matches the Rfam family "Bacterial small subunit ribosomal RNA", at positions 509 to 807 of the family's 1533-position model. The record is from RNAcentral.
CAGUAGCCACGGGAAUACAGAGGGUGCAAGCGUUAAUCGGAAUUACUGGGCGUAAAGCGCGCGUAGGUGGUUUGUUAAGUUGAAUGUGAAAUCCCCGGGCUCAACCUGGGAACUGCAUCCAAAACUGGCAAGCUAGAGUAGGGCAGAGGGUGGUGGAAUUUCCUGUGUAGCGGUGAAAUGCGUAGAUAUAGGAAGGAACACCAGUGGCGAAGGCGACCACCUGGGCUCAUACUGACACUGAGGUGCGAAAGCGUGGGGAGCAAACAGGAUUAGAUACCCCUGUAGUCCCUGUCUCUUAUAC